AAUUUUCAAACUCGCUCCCGCUUCUGAGUCUUUUUCCGUACGAAAGAGA
This 49-nucleotide small RNA is filed under the name Arabidopsis thaliana (thale cress). Its description in RNAcentral is "ATSL233820". The record is from RNAcentral. Lineage: Eukaryota; Viridiplantae; Streptophyta; Magnoliopsida; Brassicales; Brassicaceae.